UUUAGGUUCGUUUAGUAAUAUUUAUUUACUAAGAUAGCGGAAGUUACUAUUUUCGGACUCGAAACAGAGUAGCUGGCUCUGUUUUAUCUCAAAUUAAGUCACAAAAGCUUUGAAGAUUAUUUCUAAUAAUCCUCUCUCACUCAUUUCUUCUCACUUCUGGUGAAGCAAAUUUCCAACCAAUAAAAUCAACAAAGGAGAGAUCUCACGAGGAUGAUGAAGAAGGAACAUGAAGAGGAUUCUUUGGAAACCAUCACUAUCCGACCUAUAUAUAUCCAUGGAUGAUCUCAUCUUUGCUUCUUACUCCAUCUAAAACACUCAAAAGACUAUUAGUAAUAUCUAUUGUUUAAGACUUAAACUGAUUUCAGUUCCUGCAAUUAUGUUGUUUUCGCUUCUUCUAUCUAUUUCUCAUGUAAUUUCUAUCAGUUAUAGCGGGUUUAUUGUUCUGAAAACAUAACUAUUAAUGUAAACCGAAUCGAUACAACAUA
Molecule: long non-coding RNA, 485 nt
Organism: Camelina sativa (false flax)
Lineage: Eukaryota; Viridiplantae; Streptophyta; Magnoliopsida; Brassicales; Brassicaceae
Source: RefSeq, a predicted model, not a curated record